AACGAACGCUGGCGGCAUGCCUAAUACAUGCGAGUCGAACGAGAUCUUCGGAUCUAGUGGCGCACGGGUGCGUAACGCGUGGGAAUCUGCCCUUGGGUUCGGAAUAACUUCUGGAAACGGAAGCUAAUACCGGAUGAUGACGUAAGUCCAAAGAUUUAUCGCCCAAGGAUGAGCCCGCGUAGGAUUAGCUAGUUGGUGGGGUAAAGGCCCACCAAGGCGACGAUCCUUAGCUGGUCUGAGAGGAUGAUCAGCCACACUGGGACUGAGACACGGCCCAGACUCCUACGGGAGGCAGCAGUAGGGAAUAUUGGACAAUGGGCGAAAGCCUGAUCCAGCAAUGCCGCGUGAGUGAUGAAGGCCUUAGGGUUGUAAAGCUCUUUUACCCGGGAUGAUAAUGACAGUACCGGGAGAAUAAGCUCCGGCUAACUCCGUG
RNAcentral lists this ribosomal RNA (433 nucleotides) under uncultured bacterium. Its description in RNAcentral is "partial 16S ribosomal RNA". It matches the Rfam family "Bacterial small subunit ribosomal RNA", at positions 29 to 507 of the family's 1533-position model. The record is from RNAcentral.